Molecule: long non-coding RNA, 1959 nt
Organism: Manihot esculenta (cassava)
Lineage: Eukaryota; Viridiplantae; Streptophyta; Magnoliopsida; Malpighiales; Euphorbiaceae
Exons: 4
Source: RefSeq, a predicted model, not a curated record
UGUAAGAUUGGCAACAAGAAUAAAUUCCUCGCAAUGGCUAUGCCUCGUUCACAUGUUUUUUAACAGAAUGAAAGAAUAAAAUGUGCCUUUUGUUGGCUAACCAUUUUCCAAAAUGACAACAAAUCGGUGGGUGUACUGUGUGCGAGAAAAGGAAAGUAAAGAAUCUGUGGGUAACAGAAUGUCAAGUAGUGUCUACUUAUGGCAUCUUCUGCUUCAACUCAGUUUCGUUUUCACAGAGUUCCUCUGGAAGAAAGCAGGAAACCAGACAGGAUCGGCAGAAGAGAUUAAAAACGUUUAAGGAUUUGAUAAGGUAAAGUACUUCAUCCCUAAUCCCAAGUUUCCUCUUGGUAUAUUUUUCUAAAGUUUGGAUUACUGUACAGUAUUACUUUGUUCAGUACCUUACAGGAUUGAGACUUAGUCGAAUGAGACGUCAGAACUUGUUAGAUUCAUUAGCUAUUCCUGGAACAUAUGAAAUCAAUAUGCGAAAAAUUCUGAUGAUUUCCAUGAUCCAUAGAUAAAAUGAAUUGGUUGCAGAGGAAGAGUGGUAGCCAAAUGAAGCAAGAUCAAGACUCCAUUUAUACUGGAUUUACAACUGCAGUAGCAGCAGCUGUAUAUGCUAUUCACUCACUUGAACAAGCUGAAACCUUAAAGAACAAGAAUGGGAACAAAAAAGAAGAUGCAACAGCUAAACUGAGAUUCUCAUUCAAGAAAAGAAAAAUGGAGAUGAAACCUCUAUGAAACGGAAACAGAAUCAUGAGGCACUAGAGAGGACUUAUUCAAAUAGAAAACCAAGUCCUUCACCCUCUCAUAAACCCAAAAUCCAUGAAGAUAAUCCUGGAAAAGCUGAUCGCAUACAGAAUGACAAACUGAAAACACUUCUUGCUUGGGCAAAGGCAAAGAAGAUGAAAGUCAAACACAAAAUGGAAAAGAAAAAGAACUAAAUGCAGCAGGGAAAGGGCGAAAGAACUUGCACCAUUAAGCAUAACAAGAUAGAAAAAAUAAGUAGCAAUUCCUGAAGGACAGAUCAUAUAUACACUUAAAAAUCUGAGCUGAGCUGAAAGAGAGUAAUUACAAGGUAUAGAUUUAUUAAAGAAAAUUCUUAAAGUAAUACAAUGUCUUUGUACCAGUCAUAUAGGUGUACUUAUCUAUCCGUUCAAGUUAUUCAGCAUAAAGAUCUCCAGAAUCUUCCCAGAAAAAGGUAAAAGAAUUUAUUUUUUUUCCAUCUACAUCUAAUGUAGAAAAGUGAAUGUUUCCAGGCCAAGAGAAAAACUUAAUGAUUAUUGAUCCAUGCAUUCAAAUCGUAUUUUGUGGCACCCAAAGUAGGGCUUAUCAAUCUUUUUUCUAUCUUUAAAGCUGCCACUUAGUUACAGAAACAUCGAGAAACUUAUUCUUCAUUCUUGUCUGUCCUAGACAAGGGAUUCAUGGAAUAGACAACUCUUGUGUGAAAAUAUAAUUAAGAUGUUUAAAUCUCUCAUAAGGGACAUGCAUUUUCAGUAUUUGACUGGGCAUGAAGGAGAGGUCAGAUACAGGGCCAUGCUCUAGUAAUAAUGCCUCUGCAUUCAACCACAGAAUGGCAAAUGCACCAGCCAGUCCAUAUCUGCAAACCCAUCUUAUUAUCAAAUUGCAAAACCACAACCUCAAGUGAGAGGAUUGCCAUUGCCAUUGCCACCUUGCUAAGGAUAUAUUCAGAGUACUAUUCAUUUUCACAUUAUAGCAUUUAUUAUAUGGGAUUAAACCAACUAAAAUUGAGGAAAAAAAUCUGCAUAGCUAGCCAACCUUAUUCUCAUCAAAACAAGAUUGCAGUCUACUUGAGUUGCAUUGAAUAUUUUCUUUAGUGGAGAAAUAAUAUUGCACACUGGAGAUCUGAAAUAUGAGACUGACUUUGAAGUUUGUAUUUCCAAGUAAGUUGACGAAAUGUCUUUGUUGCACUAUUUUCAUGUAGGCACGACUAUAAUUAUU